GCAAGUGAUAGAAUCGACGUAACCUGUAAUUUAAGCAAUCAUUACAUGAGAAUGAGAGUCAUUACUGCAAAAUCAACUCAAAAAACUUUGAGAAUUUUGCAAAUAAUUCAAAUUCAAGGAUUCUUCUCAUUGUGAUAUUUUCAUAAAAUUCACUAAUAUUAUUCUGACAUAUUAUUGCAUUGCAAAGAAAGGAACCAAAAAGUCAAAUCAGCCUGAUAAGUUCGAUGAAAUUUUGGUGAAAGGUGCCAAAAUUGUUCAUAUUUAUACAAGUGUUAAUUUUCUACUAAGUAUGUCUCACGACCGUAUAAAGAAGCCAAGAACCUCAAAAGUACAAAACACUUAAUGAAAUAAUCAUUCAUCUUAAUCUUUAAAGUCUUGCUGAUUUGAAAUUUAAGGCCAACAUAUAAUAGAGCUAUCAAGGAGACAAAUAAGGUGAUAGUUUGGAUGGUGCUCUGGUCUAUCCUUAUCAAUGACAACGACAAAUAUAUAAUUGAGGUGAAAAAAAGUGAGUUUGGAGGGGAAAGGGAAAUAUAAACUAUAGGGUUCAUAUAUCCAAAUCCGGCCUCGCUAUUUCACAUCUCAUGAUAAGGCUCACCUGUUGAUAGAAAAAAAAGGGGCUCUCCUACCACACAAUAAACACCCAACCUGGGAGCAUAUACAAUAUAAGACAAGAUGAAUGCACAGAAGUUAUCCUUUUCCCAUUCACAAGGAUUAUCCUUUUUCCAUGCACAAAUUUUAGCUUUUUGUUUAAACUGUUGCCUUGAGCACCUUGAGCAUGAAGUUCACAAACAAUAUUUCACUCAGCAAUACCCUUCUCCUCAAUCAUUUGAUGUUAAAUUUUCUUAAAAAAUUAUUCUAGAGUAGCAGUUGUUCC
This 874-nucleotide unclassified non-coding RNA is filed under the name Hevea brasiliensis (rubber tree). The record is from RNAcentral. Lineage: Eukaryota; Viridiplantae; Streptophyta; Magnoliopsida; Malpighiales; Euphorbiaceae.